UGUGGAUAGGGGUGAAAGGCUAAACAAACUUGGAAAUAGCUGGCUCUCUCCGAAAACUAUUUAGGUAGUGCCUCAAGUAUUACCUGCGGGGGUAGAGCACUGUUUUGGCUAGGGGGUCAUGGCGACUUACCAAACCAAGGCAAACUCCGAAUACUGCAGAGUACAGCUUGGGAGACAGAGCACCGGGUGCUAACGUCCGGACUCAAGAGGGAAACAACCCAGACCGCCAGCUAAGGUCCCUAAAAUUGGCUAAGUGGGAAACGAAGUGGGAAGGCUAAAACAGUCAGGAUGUUGGCUUAGAAGCAGCCAUCAUUUAAAGAAAGCGUAAUAGCUCACUGAUCGAGUCGUCCUGCGCGGAAGAUGUAACGGGGCUAAGCCAGUUACCGAAGCUGCGGAUGUGCAAUUUAUUGCACGUGGUAGGAGAGCGUUGUGUAAGCCUGUGAAGGUGUCUGGUAACGGAUGCUGGAGGUAUCACAAGUGCGAAUGCUGACAUGAGUAGCGUUAAAGCGGGUGAAAAGCCCGCUCGCCGUAAGCGCAAGGUUUCCUACGCAACGUUCAUCGGCGUAGGGUGAGUCGGCCCCUAAGGCGAGGCAGAGAUGCGUAGCUGAUGGGAAACAGGUCAAUAUUCCUGUACCGAUCAAUAGUGCGAUGUGGGGACGGAGAAGGUUAGCUCAGCCAACUGUUGGAUAUGUUGGUUCAAGCCUGUAGUCGUGCCUGGUAGGCAAAUCCGCCGGGCUAAGAUGAGGGGUGAUAACGAGUCUGCUUGCAGACGAAGUGAGUGAUACCCUGCUUCCAGGAAAAGCCACUAAGCUUCAGCUAUUGACGACCGUACCGCAAACCGACACUGGUGCGCGAGAUGAGUAUUCUAAGGCGCUUGAGAGAACUCAGGAGAAGGAACUCGGCAAAUUGAUACCGUAACUUCGGGAGAAGGUAUGCCCCCAGUAGGUGGACCUGUACAAGGCGAGCCGAAAGGGGUUGCAAAAAAUCGGUGGCUGCGACUGUUUAAUAAAAACACAGCACUCUGCAAACACGAAAGUGGACGUAUAGGGUGUGACGCCUGCCCGGUGCUGGAAGAUUAAAUGAUGGGGUGCAAGCUCUUGAUUGAAGUCCCAGUAAACGGCGGCCGUAACAAUAACGGUCCUAAGGUAGCGAAAUUCCUUGUCGGGUAAGUUCCGACCUGCACGAAUGGCGUAACGAUGGCCACACUGUCUCCUCCUGAGACUCAGCGAAGUUGAAAUGUUUGUGAUGAUGCAAUCUCCCCGCGGAAAGACGGAAAGACCCCAUGAACCUUUACUGUAGCUUUGUAUUGGAUUUUGAACGGAUCUGUGUAGGGUAGGUGGGAGGCUUUGAAGUGUGGUCGCUAGAUCACGAAAAAAAAG
This 1379-nucleotide ribosomal RNA is filed under the name metagenome. Its description in RNAcentral is "bacterial LSU rRNA". It matches the Rfam family "Bacterial large subunit ribosomal RNA", at positions 810 to 2192 of the family's 2925-position model. The record is from RNAcentral.